ACGUAGGUCCCGAGCGUUGUCCGGAUUUAUUGGGCGUAAAGCGAGCGCAGGCGGUUAGAUAAGUCUGAAGUUAAAAGGCUGUGGCUUAACCAUAGUACGCUUUGGAAACUGUUUAACUUGAGUGCAAGAGGGGAGAGUGGAAUUCCAUGUGUAGCGGUGAAAUGCGUAGAUAUAUGGAGGACACCGGUGGCGAAAAGCGGCUCUCUGGCUUGUAACUGACGCUGAGGCUCGAAAGCGUGGGGAGCAAACAGGAUUAGAUACCCCGGUAGUCC
RNAcentral lists this ribosomal RNA (272 nucleotides) under uncultured bacterium. RNAcentral's name for it is "partial 16S ribosomal RNA". It matches the Rfam family "Bacterial small subunit ribosomal RNA", at positions 525 to 796 of the family's 1533-position model. The record is from RNAcentral.